CAGUAGCCGCGGUAAUACGUAGGGUGCGAGCGUUAAUCGGAAUUACUGGGCGUAAAGCGUGCGCAGGCGGUUCGUUAAGACAGAUGUGAAAUCCCCGGGCUUAACCUGGGAACUGCAUUUGUGACUGGCGAGCUAGAGUAUGGCAGAGGGGGGUAGAAUUCCACGUGUAGCAGUGAAAUGCGUAGAGAUGUGGAGGAAUACCGAUGGCGAAGGCAGCCCCCUGGGCCAAUACGGACGCUCAUGCACGAAAGCGUGGGGAGCAAACAGGAUUAGAUACCCGUGUAGUCCCUGUCUCUUAUAC
RNAcentral lists this ribosomal RNA (301 nucleotides) under uncultured bacterium. RNAcentral describes it as "partial 16S ribosomal RNA". It matches the Rfam family "Bacterial small subunit ribosomal RNA", at positions 509 to 807 of the family's 1533-position model. The record is from RNAcentral.